UCAGAGAGUGAUAUGAAAAGAAGUGGAAAAUAUUUGAGGAUGCAAAAAUGUACAAACCCUUGAAAAGGCAGCUGGAACUUGGAUUGAGUGGCGCCACCAAGCGUCUUCCCGAGGAACUACACUCAGCAUCAAGCCGCCAUAGCUUUGAACUGUGUCUAUGAGCAUCUGUGCUUUAUCUCUAUAUGUUCUGUGCAUCCCUUAUCAAGAUGAAUCUCAAGGGAUCAGAAACAUACCUGUAUCUGAUAGACUGUUCCAGAUUAAAGACGGCAGAAGACGCAAUGACUGAAUGCCAUGUGUGAGCCAUGAUUUGUUUACAUUAGUGACAAAAUCUGAAUAAAUUCUUCAGAUUAGUUAAUGAUUCCAUGUUGAUGUUAAUUUUGUGAUUCUGGAAAAUGGGACUUUGGAAAUAGAAGGGAAUGUCUGCUUAUUUUGAGAAAAUACAUGAAAAUAUUUAAGAAUAAAGGGACAGCAUUUCUGCAGAAUAUCUCAAACAAUUCAGAAAAAGAGGGAGAGAAAAAAAUAACAAAUGUAACAGGAUGGCAUUAGGGAAUUUUGGAGAAGACUAGAAAGAUAUUGGGAAUUAUUUGUAUAUUCUUGGGAUUUUUUUUUUUUACAAAUCUGAAAUUGUGUCAAAAUAAUUAAAAGUAUACCUUUUGUUGACUUCUUUCUCAUAAUAAAUAAAAUAUGUUUUUUUAAUUCUACACACCUUUGUGAGGCUCAAAGUUCCUUAUGAGAUGCUGCCUUUCCUCUAUAACUUGUCUUCUAGAGCCUUCUUGCCCAUUCUAAAGUUCUGUAAGGUGGUCAAGAUGAAUCUUCUUAUAGCUUUCCAAGUGUCACCACGAGAGAAGAAAAUUCCUUGUAAUAAAGAAAAUGUUCUUGAGUUAUUUCCUCAAAGCUUUUAAAAUCUAAUUUCUGAGGAUAAAUAAAAAUGAAAAAGAAUUAAAUUCUCCCUAUUGAAAGUAAGGGCAGAAGUUUCUCUUCCUCUUGGAGUAUUUACUGUAGAAAACUUUGUAAGUACUUUCACCUCCUUGCUUUGAAUUGUAUAUUCAGCGUUUUGAAAACUACGUAGGUCUUUGGUCAGCUUUAUGACCUAGGAAUAUCUUUCUCAGUGACCCGGGAGCCAUUUCUUUGGAACAUAAACAUCAGUUAUCUCUGAAAGGAGAGGCACCUCACUUUGGUGACUGGCAAGACUCCAAGUUGCAAAACUACCUCCUGUGAAAAAGAAAUGAGAAAUUUACUUUUCCUGUGUAUAAAGCCAGCUGAUACAGAUGGUCAUCCCAAUUACCUAGUGAAUCUAAGAUGAACUCUGUGUGAUGCUAAAAGCAAGGCAACAGGCCAAAAAUGGAGUUGGUUAUGCUAAGCCUCAAGUCACCAAAUGGUGAGUUAAUUAUAGUUCAGUUGUCCCAUAAGUGGAAUCGUAAAACCAGUUAAUCAGGAACCACCUGAUCCCACUGGUUAGGUCAUCUGCCUGAUAGGCCCCUACCAUCCCCUAAAGGAAAAUAACUUUAAAAUAAAAACCCUAUUUUUUUUGCCCAGAAUAAUUUCCUUGUUCCUUCUCCCUUCUGACUAUAAAAGUCUUUCACUUUGUACAGCUCCUUGGUGUUCCUUCCUUGCUGCUAGAAUGGAUGCUGGCAGAUUCAAGUUGAUCUUUGUUCAAAUAAACUCAAAAUGUUUACCUCAGUUUAUCUUUUAACAGUGACAAAUGGUAAUAUGCUUCAGUUUAUCUUUUAACAGUGACAAAUGGUGCUGUCAAAUCCUCUUACUUGAGGACUAGUUCUUUUUUAUCUUAAUAACAUUUUUGU
Cervus elaphus (red deer) is the source of this 1802-nucleotide long non-coding RNA. RefSeq lists it as uncharacterized. NCBI's taxonomy places the organism in Eukaryota, Metazoa, Chordata, Mammalia, Artiodactyla, Cervidae. The transcript has 3 exons. The record is from RefSeq and is a predicted model, not a curated record.